CGCACCUUGCACCCUUUGGUAUUCCGAAGGGUACACCUGUUUGAGUGUCGUGAAUUCCUCCCCCUUCCUGCCUUUGCGGGCGACGGACGGCGGGGACUUUGGGGGUCUUUUGCGGGUCUUUUGGAUCUGCUCCCCUUGAAUGCAUUAGCGAAGCCCGCGCGGGCCUUUGUGUGAUAAUUAUCUACACAUAGGUCCCGUUACGAAGGUUUGCUUCGAACGGUCUCCCAUGCCGAGACAACUUUCAUCGAACUUGACCUCAAAUCAGGUGGGACUACCCGCUGAACUUAA
Molecule: unclassified non-coding RNA, 288 nt
Filed under: Agaricomycetes sp.
Lineage: Eukaryota; Fungi; Basidiomycota; Agaricomycetes
Description: partial contains 5.8S ribosomal RNA, internal transcribed spacer 2, and large subunit ribosomal RNA
Source: RNAcentral